This 79-nucleotide transfer RNA is filed under the name Flavobacteriaceae bacterium. Its description in RNAcentral is "tRNA-Ala". The stretch from base 11 to 75 matches the Rfam family "tRNA". Rfam says of the family: Transfer RNA (tRNA) molecules are approximately 80 nucleotides in length. The record is from RNAcentral. Lineage: Bacteria; Pseudomonadati; Bacteroidota; Flavobacteriia; Flavobacteriales; Flavobacteriaceae.
GGAGAAAAUUGAAGUAAAUAGAUAUUAAUAUUUUUGACUGGCAGUCAAGAGGUCGUCGGUUCGAAUCCGAUCUUCUCCA